Non-coding RNA from Potamilus streckersoni, 73 nucleotides. NCBI's taxonomy places the organism in Eukaryota, Metazoa, Mollusca, Bivalvia, Unionida, Unionidae. The record is from the annotation of a GenBank genome assembly.
GCUCCGGUGGCUUAGUGGUUAGAGCGUCCGCCUCAGAUGCGAACUGUAUUGGGUUCGAUCCCAGGUAGAGUCA